CCUACGGGAGGCAGCAGUGAGGAAUAUUGGUCAAUGGACGCGAGUCUGAACCAGCCAAGCCGCGUGAAGGAAGACGGCCCUAUGAGUUGUAAACUGCUUUUAUAUGGGGAUAAAAGCAGGUAUGCAUACCUGCUUGUAAGUACCGUAUGAAUAAGGAUCGGCUAACUCCGUGCCAGCAGCCGCGGUAAUACGGAGGAUCCGAGCGUUAUCCGGAUUUAUUGGGUUUAAAGGGAGCGUAGGUGGAUGGUUAAGUUAGUUGUGAAAGUUUGCGGCUCAACCUUAAAAUUGCAGUUGAUACUGUCAGUCUAGAGAGCAGUAGAGGUAGGCGGAAUGUGUGGUGUAGCGGUGAAAUGCUUAGAUAUCACACAGAACACCGAUUGCGAAGGCAGCUCACUGGACUGCUACUGACACUGAGGCUCGAAAGUGUGGGUAGCAAACAGGAUUAGAUACCCGAGUAGUC
This 460-nucleotide ribosomal RNA is filed under the name uncultured bacterium. RNAcentral's name for it is "partial 16S ribosomal RNA". It matches the Rfam family "Bacterial small subunit ribosomal RNA", at positions 338 to 795 of the family's 1533-position model. The record is from RNAcentral.